GCGGGGGUUCCCGAGCCUGGCCGAAGGGGCAGGGCUUAGGACCCUGUGGUGAAGACCUUCGUGGGUUCAAAUCCCACCCCCCGCA
This 85-nucleotide transfer RNA is filed under the name Candidatus Bathyarchaeota archaeon. RNAcentral describes it as "tRNA-Leu". It matches the Rfam family "tRNA". Rfam says of the family: Transfer RNA (tRNA) molecules are approximately 80 nucleotides in length. Their secondary structure includes four short double-helical elements and three loops (D, anti-codon, and T loops). The record is from RNAcentral. Lineage: Archaea; Thermoproteati; Candidatus Bathyarchaeota.